UCGUAACAAGGUUUCCGUAGGUGAACCUGCGGAAGGAUCAUUAUUGUAUAAUAUCCUUACCGUUAAUAAACAUUUGUAAUAAUACAAAUAAAAACAAUUUACCAAAAUAAAAAUAUAACAAAAUGAUUCCACGGAAUCAAAAGUUAAAAUCAAAAUAAAACGAAGAUGGGUUUUAUUUAUAUUGUGUGGGGGUUGGCAACCUCAUAAAAAGAUUUUAACAUUCCUAAUGUAUGUUGUGCGUAUUUGUGGCGAGUACUUACAACAACGGCGUUUCCUAUAAAAAUAAUGUUUCGAACAUGAAAAUCGAAGAAACAAAAUUCGAAAGUGGAAGUCGAAUUUAAAUAAAAUAAUUUCGAAUGUGGUAAUCAUCGAAAUAAGUGUUAAUAUAAUUGGUAGAUAUUAACUAAUUUUUAAAAUUUGUGUGUAUGUGUAUAUUCGCGUUGCGAAUAUGUAUUGUUCAUCUUAAAAUAAACAAUGUUGUACCUGGCAUCCAUCAGGUUAAUGUUUUAUAUAAAUUGCAGUAUGUGUCACCCAAAAUAGCAAACCCCAUAACCAACCAGAUUAUUAUGAUACAUAAUGCUUAUAUGAAACUAAGACAUUUCGCAACAUUUAUUUUAGGUAUAAAAAUACAUUUAUUGAAGGAAUUGAUAUAUGCCAGUAAAAUGGUGUAUUUUUAAUUUCUUUCAAUAAAAACAUAAUUGACAUUAUAUAAAAAUGAAUUAUAAAACUCUAAGCGGUGGAUCAAUCGGCUCAUGGGUCGAUGAAGAACGCAGCAAACUGUGCGUCAUCGUGUGAACUGCAGGACACAUAAACAUCGACAUUUUGAACGCAUAUCGCAGUCCAUGCUGUUAGGUACUUUAAUUAAUUUUAUAGUGCUGCUUGGACUACACAUGGUUGAGGGUUGUAAGACUAUGCUAAUUAAGUUGCUUAUAAAUUUUUAUAAGCAUAUGGUAUAUUAUUGGAUAAAAAUAAUGAUUUUUAUUCAUAAUAUUAAAAAAGAAAUGAAAAACAUUAUCCCACAUUUGAAUGU
RNAcentral lists this ribosomal RNA (1030 nucleotides) under Drosophila melanogaster (fruit fly). The stretch from base 726 to 904 matches the Rfam family "5.8S ribosomal RNA". Lineage: Eukaryota; Metazoa; Arthropoda; Insecta; Diptera; Drosophilidae. The record is from RNAcentral.